CCAGGCAGGGACGUCUGAGAUCCAGGCGGGGCAGGACCACUGAGAUCCAGGUGGGGCAGGACCACUGAGAUCCAGGCGGGGCAGGGCCAUGCUCCCUCCCAAGGCUCCAGAGGAGGGUC
Non-coding RNA from Callorhinus ursinus (northern fur seal), 119 nucleotides. The record is from RefSeq and is a predicted model, not a curated record. Lineage: Eukaryota; Metazoa; Chordata; Mammalia; Carnivora; Otariidae.